AAAGUCAAGAAGCUCAAUUAGACUGGCGCACAGCCUAGGUUCCAGGAACCAGGCGAAGAGGGCCUGGAAAGGUGGAGGCCGAGGCUGGAUCUGAGGACGUCUGGAGUAGUGAGCCUUCUUCACCCAAUACACGUGCCAUUUAUGAAGCAGCCUUUCAGUUUGCCAGCUCCCCAGUCUGGCACUCCUGCAUGCAGCCCACCGUGAGACAGCCCACCGUGAGACAUGUUAUUCCAGCUCAUCCUACCAUCUCUGGUAUUCAUCAUCAACCCCAGUGUCUCUUUCUCUGCCUCCUACUUGAAGAUCAAGAUGUGAACACUCAGCCAUUCCUGCCACCAUGCCCUCACUCUGACGUCAUGGACUCCCAUCCUCUGAAACUGUACGCUCCAAAAUUAUAUGCUUUCUUUUAUAAGUUACUUUCAUCGUGGUGUCUUAUUGCAGAAAGAGAAAUGUGGCUAUGACAGUGGACAAGACCUUGCUCAUCCAUUUGACAGGACAGAGAAAACCUGGGCCAUGGUGACAGAUGAGGCCUCCCAAGGCCGGGGCCUAGGCAUCACGCAUCUGAGUAGAAGCUAAAAGCAGAGGCACUCUGAUAACCCAGCAAGGCUGCCAAAUGAAACCUCUCAGCACCAUCUUUUAAGCACCUUCCUAAAGAACAGAUCCACUCCAGGCAAGAGACCGAGGAGUCUCAAUCUCUCUUCUUCCUAGUUUGUUCUUGGGGCCCUCUCUUUAGUAAAACAGUUUCUGGAUACCCCCUGUAGGCCCAGAGCUGGGGUGAGAGCUGGGUCAAGGCCUGGAGACAGCCUCUGCCCAUGCCAACACCCUCCUUCAAGGCAGGGUAAGGGAAGCUUAGGCAUGGUGGUCCAUGCCUGAAAUUCCAGCGGUCAGGAGACUGAGGUAGGAGGGUUCCAGACCAGCCUAGGCUGCCACCUGCCAAGAUCCUGGCUUUCUUGAUUCCCUUCCUUCCUUCCUUCCUUCCUUCCUUCCUUCCUUCCUUCCUUCCUUCCUUCCUUCCUUCCCUGCCUCCCUCCCUCCCACUUUCCUUCCCUCCCUCCUACUUCUCAUUCUCAAGACAGGGUCUCUCUGUGUAGACUUUGCUAUCCUGGAACUUUCUACUGGUCUCACAGAGAUCCAUCUGCCUUUGCCUCUGACUCCUAAAUGUUGGAUUAAAGGUAUACCACUCAUAUUUAUGUUCUUAUUUUUGAAAUAUUUAU
This is a non-coding RNA of Rattus norvegicus (Norway rat), 1211 nucleotides long. NCBI's taxonomy places the organism in Eukaryota, Metazoa, Chordata, Mammalia, Rodentia, Muridae. The record is from RefSeq and is a predicted model, not a curated record.